This 534-nucleotide ribosomal RNA is filed under the name Telebasis obsoleta. RNAcentral describes it as "partial 16S ribosomal RNA". It matches the Rfam family "Bacterial large subunit ribosomal RNA", at positions 1830 to 2619 of the family's 2925-position model. The record is from RNAcentral. Lineage: Eukaryota; Metazoa; Arthropoda; Insecta; Odonata; Coenagrionidae.
GUCCUUUUGUUAUGUUUAUAAGGUCUGGCCUGCCCAGUGAAUAUUUAUUUAACGGCCGCGGUAUAUUGACCGUGCAAAGGUAGCAUAAUCAUUAGUCUUUUAAUAGGAGGCUGGUAUGAAAGGUUUAACGAAAUAUAAUCUGUCUCAUUUAUAUUUUUAGAAUUUAACUUUUGAGUCAAAAGGCUCAAAUUUAAUUGGAGGACGAGAAGACCCUAUAGAGCUUUACAAUAACUUUUUUGAUAUUAUUUUGUUAAAUAAUUUUAUAUUAUUUUUAUUAUUGUUUUGUUGGGGUGACAAGAAAUAUAUAAUUAACUUUUAUUAUUUUAUAAACAUUAAUUUAUGAAAAAUUGAUCCAAUAAUAUUGAUCAUUAGAUUAAGUUACCUUAGGGAUAACAGCGUAAUCUUCUUUCAGAGUUCAAAUUUACAAGAAGGCUUGCGACCUCGAUGUUGGAUUAAGAUAAUAAUUAGGUGCAGUAGCUUAAUUAAUAGGUCUGUUCGACCUUUAAAUUCUUACAUGAUCUGAGUUCAAACCGG